AUUGAACGCUGGCGGCAGGCCUAACACAUGCAAGUCGAGCGGAUGAAGGGAGCUUGCUCCUGGAUUCAGCGGCGGACGGGUGAGUAAUGCCUAGGAAUCUGCCUGGUAGUGGGGGAUAACGUCCGGAAACGGGCGCUAAUACCGCAUACGUCCUGAGGGAGAAAGUGGGGGAUCUUCGGACCUCACGCUAUCAGAUGAGCCUAGGCCGGAUUAGCUAGUUGGUGGGGUAAAGGCCUACCAAGGCGACGAUCCGUAACUGGUCUGAGAGGAUGAUCAGUCACACUAGAACUGAGACACGGUCCAGAGGCCUACGGGAGGCAGCAGUCGGGAAUAUUGGACAAUGGGCGAAAGCCUGAUCCAGCCAUGCCGCGUGUGUGAAGAAGGUCUUCGGAGUGGAAAGCAUUUUAAGUUGGGAGGAAGGGCAGUAAGUUAAUACCUUGCUGUUUUGACGUUACCAACAGAAUAAGCACCGGCUAACUUCGUG
RNAcentral lists this ribosomal RNA (484 nucleotides) under uncultured bacterium. Its description in RNAcentral is "partial 16S ribosomal RNA". It matches the Rfam family "Bacterial small subunit ribosomal RNA", at positions 30 to 507 of the family's 1533-position model. The record is from RNAcentral.